AGAACGAACGCUGGCGGCAGGCCUCAAACAUGCAAGUCUAGGGGGCGUAGCAAUACGUCACCGGCGGACGGGUGCGUAACACGUGGGAAUGUACUUACUGGUUCGGAACAACUCAGGGAAACUUGUGCUAAUACCGUAUACGCCUUGGCGGGGAAAGAUUUAUCGCCGAAGGAUUGGCCCGCGUCCGAUUAGCUAGUUGGUGAGGUAAUGGCUCACCAAGGCGACGAUCGGUAGCUGGUCUGAGAGGAUGGCCAGCCACAUUGGGACUGAGACACGGCCCAAACUCCUACGGGAGGCAGCAGUGGGGAAUAUUGGACAAUGGGCGCAAGCCUGAUCCAGCCAUGCCGCGUGAGUGAUGAAGGCCUUAGGGUUGUAAAGCUCUUUCAUCAGGGACGAUAAUGACGGUACCUGAAGAAGAAGCCCCGGCUAACUUCGCGCCAGCAGCCGC
RNAcentral lists this ribosomal RNA (448 nucleotides) under uncultured bacterium. RNAcentral describes it as "SSU rRNA". It matches the Rfam family "Bacterial small subunit ribosomal RNA", at positions 26 to 518 of the family's 1533-position model. The record is from RNAcentral.